RNAcentral lists this ribosomal RNA (306 nucleotides) under uncultured bacterium. Its description in RNAcentral is "partial 16S ribosomal RNA". It matches the Rfam family "Bacterial small subunit ribosomal RNA", at positions 507 to 807 of the family's 1533-position model. The record is from RNAcentral.
GACAGCAGUCGCCGCGGGAAUACGGAGGGUGCAAGCGUUAAUCGGAAUUACUGGGCGUAAAGCGCACGCAGGCGGUCUGACAAGUCAGAUGUGAAAUCCCCGGGCUUAACCUGGGAACUGCAUUUGAAACUGUCAGGCUGGAGUCUUGUAGAGGGGGGUGGAAUUCCAGGUGUAGCGGUGAAAUGCGUAGAGAUCUGGAGGAAUACCGGUGGCGAAGGCGGCCCCCUGGACAAAGACUGACGCUCAGGUGCGAAAGCGUGGGGAGCAAACAGGAUUAGAUACCCGUGUAGUCCCUGUCUCUUAUAC